Molecule: transfer RNA, 56 nt
Filed under: Gyraulus sp. GE1
Lineage: Eukaryota; Metazoa; Mollusca; Gastropoda; Planorbidae
Description: tRNA-Ser
Source: RNAcentral
GAAAACAUAUAAUUGAAGCUGCUAACUUUAAUUGGGGGAAAUAUCUCCGGUUUUCU